CUCUGAUCACUGCUUUUACCGGAACGAAAACUCGACUUGUUACUUGGAUACUUCAUUGACUCAUUUUACAGCGCUGCUAUUUUGAAGGUUUAUAAACAUUGAUAAUAAUGAUAAUUAGGAUAAACUUUACUAUCAAUAAUCUCAUUUAAUGACUCUGGGGGAGGAAGGGUAGAGAGCCAGUUGGAGUGACACAGUGUUUGAUAAAGGCGAGAGUACAUAAAGCCGGGGCAUAGUUCAUGGAUACAUUAUCACUUUAUGGAGACAGAC
Non-coding RNA from Pelobates cultripes (western spadefoot toad), 267 nucleotides. The record is from the annotation of a GenBank genome assembly. NCBI's taxonomy places the organism in Eukaryota, Metazoa, Chordata, Amphibia, Anura, Pelobatidae.